GAGAGCUUUUUCUUGUAAAAUGAUAGAGGAUGAGCUCAACAAUUUUAUGAUUGGAGCGAUGGCGUUGGCUUCUGCAAGUACCUUAGAACCAUUCUGCAGCUGCUCACCUUCAAUUAUUGUCAAGAUUGCAUCUAUAGAAGCUUCAGCAGCUGCAGGAUCUGGCUCAUCUACCACCUCCGCGAGGGGUCUGAGAGCAUUAGCCUCUAAAAGGCAGAAUGAGG
RNAcentral lists this unclassified non-coding RNA (221 nucleotides) under Hevea brasiliensis (rubber tree). The record is from RNAcentral. Lineage: Eukaryota; Viridiplantae; Streptophyta; Magnoliopsida; Malpighiales; Euphorbiaceae.